CUGUGCAUGUACAUAAACAUAUACAUCAUCAUAAACAUAACCCACACAUUGGAGCUCUCAUCAAAUGCUCCAAUGGGGUAUCUCAUCAUACACAAGCUUGGUGGAACAUAAACAUCAUAAAAUAUAGAUCAUGUCUACAAAAGGGAUCAAUAUACAACUCGGUCAAGCACAGACACUAAUCCUCAAUAUUAUCAUUACAUAACAUAACUAUUCAUUACUUUACAUCAUUACACAAUUUAUCAUGUCCACAUCUUCUACCUAUUACAUAAACCAACUUUACGCCUGUUGACCUCCUGGUCUACCCUGUACCUGCAAACCUGGGGGAUUAAGGGAAAGGGGUGAGCUACUAGAGCCCAGUGAGCAGAAUAGUAAAAACAUUUGAAAAUACAUGCUAUCAUGUAAUGCAUCACAUCACAGACAAGCCACAUUAAGGGUAAAUCUGUCACCAAAUAGUCCCAUAUUAACUCUGUGCUAGGGCGUAGUCAAAGGCUCACUGGACUUCCUGUAAACAUAACAUAACUUACACUGCCCCAGGGCCUUCUUAGGCACCUGGUCUUGGUGUCCCAUCUCUGUGCCAGAGCGUAGUCAAAGGCUCACUGGACUUUCUCAACUCUGUGCCAGGGCGUAGUCAAAGGCUCACUGGACUUCCUGCCAGGGACUAUUGGAUCAUCCAGCAUUUACCCAUAUCAACAACAUAAUAUGCAAUGCAACAUAUUCGUGAUUUCUAAUGCAACCAACCUAAGAUAUCUCAUGGCAUUCAUGAUGCAUGCACGUGCUCAAGGUUUAUAUCUCAUUUCAUUGAAACUUAAGAGUUUAUUCUACUCACCUCAGCUAGCUCUGACAAUGACUGAAGCAGCUGACUCACUG
This 867-nucleotide long non-coding RNA is filed under the name Manihot esculenta (cassava). RNAcentral's name for it is "long non-coding RNA (MESC_LNC013051)". The record is from RNAcentral. Lineage: Eukaryota; Viridiplantae; Streptophyta; Magnoliopsida; Malpighiales; Euphorbiaceae.